UUUUUAAGAGUUUGAUCCUGGCUCAGGAUUAAUGCUAGCGGUGUGCCUAAGAUAUGCAAGUCGAACGAUCCCGGUGCAAAUCGGGGAAGUGGCGGACGGCUGAGUAAUACGUACGAAGUUACCCUUACCUCGUGAAUACCCCCGCGAAAGCGGGGCUAAUACACGAUAUUUCCUGCCCUAAAAAGCGUGGAAAAAGGACAUAACUUUCCGGGUAAGGAGAUGCGUACGGACUAUCAGGUAGUUGGUAGGGUAACGGCCUACCAAGCCUAUGACGGUUAUCCGGCUCGUGAUGAGUGACCGGACAGAGGAGCACUGAGAUACGGGCUCCACACCUACGGGUGGCAGCAAUCGGGAAUAGUUGGCAAUGGGCGAAAGCCUGACCACGCGACACCGCGUGUAGGAAGAAGUUCUUAUUGAGCGUAAACUACUGUGGUAGGGGAUAAAGUCCCGCUUUAGGGCGGGAUUGAUAGUACCUUACUAGAAAGUGACCGCUAAUUGCGUGCCAGCAGCGGCGGUAAUACGUGAGUCACAAGCAUUAUCCGGUGUUACUGGGCGUAAAGUGUGUGU
This 567-nucleotide ribosomal RNA is filed under the name Candidatus Roizmanbacteria bacterium RIFCSPHIGHO2_02_FULL_37_13b. RNAcentral's name for it is "bacterial SSU rRNA". It matches the Rfam family "Bacterial small subunit ribosomal RNA", at positions 1 to 572 of the family's 1533-position model. Lineage: Bacteria; Candidatus Roizmaniibacteriota. The record is from RNAcentral.